Molecule: transfer RNA, 97 nt
Filed under: Candidatus Parvarchaeum acidophilus ARMAN-5
Lineage: Archaea; Nanobdellati; Candidatus Parvarchaeota
Rfam family: tRNA
About the family: Transfer RNA (tRNA) molecules are approximately 80 nucleotides in length.
Source: Rfam by way of RNAcentral
GGGUCUGUAGCUUAAUGGUGGAGCGCCGCUCUUAUAUGGGUACGCUCUAACAAACUAAGUAAAGCGGAGGCCGGGGGUUCGAUCCCCCUCAGACCCA